AUUAUUUAAUAUCAGUUGCAGAUAAACAUACCUAUAAUAUUUUAACAUUGAAUUUUAGACACAUUUAACAAAAAUCGUCAACGGUGCCAUACCCAGUAAACGCCACAGGUUAUUUAAGCAAAUGAUCCAUGGGCGAAAUCAAGCUCAGACUGAACUCACCGAUCUCUACAUGACGUGUCCUUUAACUCGAACUCAAGCAAAAGAUCUGUUGAAUGUAGUCAAAGAAAUAGUCACAGAUAUUUUUCGAUCCUUUGAUGAAACAAAUUCAAUGAACAUCAACUACAUGUAUAACGUUUUAUUCCCUGAGGCCUGCAUAUAUUGUAUACAAAAAAUUGAGCGUUGUCUCCGAAAUAACGCUGAAAAAAUUUUAUAAUUGUGCGAGUGGAGUUCAAGACGGUGCAGACUCUGAAAGUGACUAACCUUGUUGUCUACCGAAAAACCUGAAAGCUGUAGUGGAUCUUGUAAAAAUUUGAGGAUUUUCAAGAGCUUGAAGUGACUGCACAAACCUGUUAUACAUCAUCGCUGGUGCUUUCAUAGUCGUGUGUAAAAAUAUCGCUUUACCAUAUUCAACAUCAAGUACGUUUUCAUGGUUAAUAAAACUAUUCAAAAAGUCAG
Long non-coding RNA from Xenia sp. Carnegie-2017, 615 nucleotides. RefSeq lists it as uncharacterized. The transcript has 4 exons. The record is from RefSeq and is a predicted model, not a curated record. Lineage: Eukaryota; Metazoa; Cnidaria; Anthozoa; Malacalcyonacea; Xeniidae.